UUUCCGUAGGUGAACCUGCGGAAGGAUCAUUAAUGAAUUCAGAACCAGGGCGGCGUAAGCUGCUCGAAUCAUCGGCUUCACAGCUGAUGAUAGUUCUAUCAUAUCCAUAACACCUGUGCACUGUUGGAUGCUUGCAUCCACUUUUAAACUAAACAUUAUUGUAACAAAUGUAGUCUUAUUAUAACAUAAUAAAACUUUCAACAACGGAUCUCUUGGCUCUC
RNAcentral lists this unclassified non-coding RNA (221 nucleotides) under soil metagenome. Its description in RNAcentral is "partial contains small subunit ribosomal RNA, internal transcribed spacer 1, and 5.8S ribosomal RNA". The record is from RNAcentral.